Molecule: ribosomal RNA, 253 nt
Filed under: uncultured bacterium
Lineage: Bacteria
Description: partial 16S ribosomal RNA
Rfam family: Bacterial small subunit ribosomal RNA
Source: RNAcentral
UACGUAGGGGGCGAGCGUUGUCCGGAAUCAUUGGGCGUAAAGCGCGUGUAGGCGGCCCGGUAAGUCCGCUGUGAAAGUCCAGGGCUCAACCCUGGGAUGCCGGUGGAUACUGUCGGGCUCGAGUCCGGAAGAGGAGAGUGGAAUUCCUGGUGUAGCGGUGAAAUGCGCAGAUAUCAGGAAGAACACCCGUGGCGAAGGCGGCUCUCUGGGACGGUACUGACGCUGAGACGCGAAAGCGUGGGGAGCGAACAGG